This 334-nucleotide unclassified non-coding RNA is filed under the name soil metagenome. RNAcentral describes it as "partial contains 5.8S ribosomal RNA, internal transcribed spacer 2, and large subunit ribosomal RNA". The stretch from base 1 to 120 matches the Rfam family "5.8S ribosomal RNA", at positions 35 to 154 of the family's 154-position model. The record is from RNAcentral.
GAUGAAGAACGCAGCGAAAUGCGAUAAGUAAUGUGAAUUGCAGAAUUCAGUGAAUCAUCGAAUCUUUGAACGCACAUUGCGCCCGCCAGUAUUCUGGCGGGCAUGCCUGUUCGAGCGUCAUUUCAACCAUCAAGCCCCCGGGCUUGUGUUGGGGACCUGCGGCUGCCGCAGGCCCUGAAAACCAGUGGCGGGCUCGCUAGUCACUCCGAGCGUAGUAGUUACAUCUCGCUCAGGGCGUGCUGCGGGUUCCGGCCGUUAAAAGCCUUUUACCCCAAGGUUGACCUCGGAUCAGGUAGGAAGACCCGCUGAACUUAAGCAUAUCAAUAAGCGAGGA